This 415-nucleotide ribosomal RNA is filed under the name uncultured prokaryote. RNAcentral's name for it is "partial 16S ribosomal RNA". It matches the Rfam family "Bacterial small subunit ribosomal RNA", at positions 505 to 918 of the family's 1533-position model. The record is from RNAcentral.
GUGUCAGCCGCCGCGGUAAUACGGAGGAUGCAAGCGUUAUCCGGAAUUAUUGGGCGUAAAGCGUCCGCAGGUGGUUAAUCAAGUCUGCUGUUAAAGGGCAAGGCUUAACCUUGUAAAGGCAGUGGAAACUGGUUGACUAGAGUACGGUAGGGGCGGAGGGAAUUCCCAGUGUAGCGGUGAAAUGCGUAGAUAUUGGGAAGAACACCAGUGGCGAAGGCGCUCUGCUGGGCCGAGACUGACACUGAGGGACGAAAGCUAGGGGAGCGAAAGGGAUUAGAUACCCCUGUAGUCCUAGCUGUAAACGAUGGAUACUAGGUGUUGGGCGUAUCGACCCGUUCAGUACCGAAGUCAACGCGAUAAGUAUCCCGCCUGGGGAGUACGCACGCAAGUGUGAAACUCAAAGGAAUUGACGGGG